Molecule: long non-coding RNA, 1125 nt
Filed under: Heterocephalus glaber (naked mole-rat)
Lineage: Eukaryota; Metazoa; Chordata; Mammalia; Rodentia; Bathyergidae
Description: lncRNA (ENSHGLG00100041222.1)
Source: RNAcentral
CUUCAGAAGCCAAUUGACUAGGGCAGGAUCAGAAGACAAUACACAGCAGAAGUGAAGCAGAGUUUGUAGAAGGAAUGGUGAAAAAGUAGAAACUUAGGGACCAAGAGAGCCACAUAAUUUACUUCUGCUUGGUUUUCUGAGCUGUCUUAAUACUAUGUUAAUAACCCAAAGGCCAUGUGGAGGCCCAGCUGGAGAGCAGAGAUGUCUCUCAGACAAGUGAUGCUCUGUAUCCCUGCCUUUGGGGUCUUAAGGAGAACAACUUGCUUUAGAGAAAAGGGGACUUUAGAACAACUGAUGACCUUCAUUUCUUCCUAGUGUCUUAUAUAAAUUUAUAAAUAGAUUUACAUUGGUAAACCAUCUCUAAAUGUAUUGUCUAGAAGGACACAUACUGAAUUUUCCACCCUUAUCCCUCUAUUCUCAUCAUUUCCUUACUUGAGGUGUAAUCAGAUCGUUUACAGAAGAAACAGAAGGCUGUGAUUGCUUGUGGAUGAAUUAGGGUGUAGGAGGAAGGAAACAAGUUAAUUUAGUUUCUAUUUGGGGGACUCCUGUCUCAACUACUUCAUGUUUCAUGAAUGUACCCAUUUCUCUAAUUCCUUAGUUACAUCUCUGCUGGCAUUUUAGAGAAUCUAAAAUGGAGAUCAAAAGAAAGCAGCAAGAUUACAAGCCCUACUGCACCCUUCCCAAGCACCCCAUUCCUUCAUAAAGUGGUAACUAUUGUAAAUUCUAUGUCCAAGCCGGCUUUUCCAAGGUCAGAGAAAACGGAAAUCUUAAGAUUGGCCCAAUCAAAGAGGAACAUUAUCACUUUGAACAAAGACCUUGAAAAGGACCUGCAGAGGAGAGAUGAAGCAAACCAGGAGCUGCUUCUCAAAACCCAAGAGAAAGAACGCGAGAUCCAGAGGAAAGAAAGAAUGAGACUCUGGUCCAUAGUAUAACAGAACUGCAGAGAAAGCUUGCAAAGAAAUCACACAAGAUAACCAAGUGUGAACAAUGUUAUCCAGAUAGAACCCCAGAAGAGUUGCAGGUAAAUGGAAAAAGCAUCCUGAGUGGGUUUGGAUUGUGUGACCAGGAAACAAGCUGUCAAAUCAGAAAUGAUGUCAAACUUGGAUUAAAUGCUUUGAAUUUUUC